GACCCCGUCGUCUAGUGGCCAAGGACGUUAGGAUUUCCUCCUAAACACGCAUGUUCGAAUCAUGCUGGGGUCGCCA
This 76-nucleotide transfer RNA is filed under the name Halarcobacter anaerophilus. Its description in RNAcentral is "Arcobacter anaerophilus tRNA-Glu". It matches the Rfam family "tRNA". From Rfam's summary of the family: Transfer RNA (tRNA) molecules are approximately 80 nucleotides in length. Their secondary structure includes four short double-helical elements and three loops (D, anti-codon, and T loops). The record is from RNAcentral. Lineage: Bacteria; Pseudomonadati; Campylobacterota; Epsilonproteobacteria; Campylobacterales; Arcobacteraceae.